CUGCGCCACGAGUGGCAAUCAGUAUUAUUGGGCCUAAAGCGUCCGUAGCAGGUCGAGUAAAUCUCUUGUGAAAUUGUUCAGCUCAACUGAACACCGUGCAAGAGACACUGCACGACUUGGGACCGGGAGGAGUCAGAGGUAUUCCAUGGGGAGCGGUAAAAUGCUAUAAUCCAUGGAGGACCACCUAUGGCGAAGGCAUCUGACCAGAACGGAUCCGACUGUGAGGGACGAAAGCCAGGGGAGCGAACCGGAUUAGAGACCCGAGUAGUCC
This 271-nucleotide ribosomal RNA is filed under the name uncultured archaeon. Its description in RNAcentral is "partial 16S ribosomal RNA". It matches the Rfam family "Archaeal small subunit ribosomal RNA", at positions 477 to 747 of the family's 1478-position model. The record is from RNAcentral.